UACGUAGGUGGCAAGCGUUGUCCGGAAUUAUUGGGCGUAAAGCGCGCGUAGGCGGUCCUUUAAGUCUGAUGUGAAAGCCCACGGCUCAACCGUGGAGGGUCAUUGGAAACUGGGGGACUUGAGUACAGAAGAGAAGAGUGGAAUUCCACGUGUAGCGGUGAAAUGCGUAGAGAUGUGGAGGAACACCAGUGGCGAAGGCGACUCUUUGGUCUGUAACUGACGCUGAGGCGCGAAAGCGUGGGGAGCAAACAGG
RNAcentral lists this ribosomal RNA (253 nucleotides) under uncultured bacterium. RNAcentral describes it as "partial 16S ribosomal RNA". It matches the Rfam family "Bacterial small subunit ribosomal RNA", at positions 524 to 776 of the family's 1533-position model. The record is from RNAcentral.